CUCGUAGUUGGAUUUCUGUGGGGACGGAGCGGCCGGCCGCAACUUGCGGUUCGAGCUAGCGCUUUCCCUACAUCCUGCCGCGAACCGUGCUACCAUUAGUUUGGUGGCGCCGGGGAUCGGCUCGUUUACUUUGAGAAAAAUAGAGUGUUCAAAGCAGGCCACACGCCUUGAAUAAGUUAGCAUGGAAUAAUAAUAAAGGACUUCGGUUCUAUUUUGUUGGUGUUCGGGACUGAAGUAAUGAUUGAUAGGGACAGUUGGGGCGGUCAGUAUUCCAAAGCGAGAGGUGAAAUUCUUAGACCUUCGGAAGACUAACAGCUGCGAAAGCGUUCCGCAAGGAUGUUCCCUUUGAUCAAGAACGAAAGUUGGGGGAUCGAAGACGAUCAGAUACCGUCGUAGUCUCAACUAUAAACUAUACCAGCUAGGGAUCGGCCAACGUUAAAUUAUUCGACUUGGUCGGCACCUUAUGAGAAAUCAAAGCAUCUGGGUUCCGGGGGGAGUAUGGUCGCAAGGCUGAAACUUAAAGGAAUUGACGGAAGGGCACCACCAGCCGUGGAGCCUGUGGCUUAAUUUGACUCAACACGGGAAAACUUACCAGGUCCAGACAUAGUAAGGAUUGACAGAUUGAUAGCUCUUUCUUGAUUCUGUGGGUGGUGGUGCAUGGCCGUUCUUAGUUGGUGGAGUGAUUUGUCUGGUUAAUUCCGUUAACGAACGAGACCCCAGCCUGCUAAAUAGCGCGGUUGAGCUUUGCUCGGCGCGAGCUUCUUAGAGGGACUAUGAUGCGCGAUAGCACAUGGAAGUUUGGGGCAAUAACAGGUCUGUGAUGCCCUUAGAUGUUCUGGGCCGCACACGGGCUACACUGGCGCCUGCAACGAGCAUAUCAGCUGGCCCGAGAGGGUCUUGGCUAAUCUUUUGAACCGGCGCCGUGCUUGGGAUUGACCAUUGCAAUUGUUGGUCAUGCAACGAGGAAUGCCUUGUAAACGCGAGUCAUCAACUCGCAUUGAAUACGUCCCUGCCCUUUGUACACACGCCCGUCGCUCUACGAUGAUGGUCCGAUGAAAUUUCGAAAGCGCUG
This 1072-nucleotide ribosomal RNA is filed under the name uncultured eukaryote. RNAcentral's name for it is "SSU rRNA". It matches the Rfam family "Eukaryotic small subunit ribosomal RNA", at positions 627 to 1720 of the family's 1831-position model. The record is from RNAcentral.